Molecule: long non-coding RNA, 225 nt
Organism: Branchiostoma belcheri (Belcher's lancelet)
Lineage: Eukaryota; Metazoa; Chordata; Leptocardii; Amphioxiformes; Branchiostomatidae
Exons: 3
Source: RefSeq, a predicted model, not a curated record
GAAGACCCAAGAGGAAUAUCAGCUAGGUGACUGCUGACUGAUGCAGUUGACUGCAGUGAUGAUUCUAAACCCGACAAGACCAGAUGUUCGUGUUCUGAGAAACCUGGUGACCGGCAACUUCUCUCCAGUCCAGACCAGCAAAUCAGAUGACCUGAAGACACAGUGAGUUUGUACAGGUGUGUCCUGAGUGUCAGCUGUCCUGAUGUUCCUGUCCUGACUGGGAGA